CAAUAGCGUAUAUUAAAGUUGUUGCAGUUAAAAAGCUCGUAGUUGGAUUUCGGGACGGGCCAGUUGGUCCGCCGCAAGGUGUGUUACUGACUGGUCUGUUCUUCUUCGCAAAGACUGCGUGUGCUCUUCGUUGAGUGUGCGUAGGAUUUACGACGUUUACUUUGAAAAAAUUAGAGUGUUCAAAGCAGGCUAUCGCUUGAAUACAUGAGCAUGGAAUAAUGGAAUAGGACUUUGGUCCUAUUUUGUUGGUUUCUAGGACCGAAGUAAUGAUUAAGAGGGACAAUUGGGGGCAUCCGUAUUUCGUUGUCAGAGGUGAAAUUCUUGGAUUUACGAAAGACGAACAACCGCGAAAGCACUUGCCAAGAGUGUUUUCAUUAA
Molecule: ribosomal RNA, 378 nt
Filed under: uncultured eukaryote
Lineage: Eukaryota
Description: partial 18S ribosomal RNA
Rfam family: Eukaryotic small subunit ribosomal RNA
Source: RNAcentral